Molecule: RNA transcript, 6373 nt
Organism: Arvicanthis niloticus (Nile rat)
Lineage: Eukaryota; Metazoa; Chordata; Mammalia; Rodentia; Muridae
Gene name: 1-phosphatidylinositol 4,5-bisphosphate phosphodiesterase eta-2
Source: RefSeq, a predicted model, not a curated record
AUGGGUGGACUGGCCUGGGGACCGUCCAGGGCUGCAGGCAGCAGUUGGGCCAAUGCCAGUGAGACCUGGGAACAGCCCUUGGGGGGCUUCAGUGGGCUCCAAGGAGGAAGACAAAGAGGUAGAAGAGAGAAGGGGAUUUCUGAGGAGCCCCUGGGCCAGCUGACACCUCAGCUUGACCUGUUGCUGAGGGUCCCUCCUGGCUUUGGGGAGCAAGCUUCCAGCUACCACUUGGAUAUGUCUGGUCCCCAGCUGUCUGUUGCCAGCCGGACCACAGGAGCCGUGGCCUGCCUGGCAGAGGUGCUCCUCUGGGUUGGAGGGAGCGUGGUAGUGUCACCACGAUGGCAGUUCAGCCUUCUAGUGGAGAGAUGCAUGAGUGCCAUGCAGGAGGGGACCCAGAUGGUGAAGCUCCGGGGCAGCUCUAAGGGAUUGGUCCGCUUCUACUACCUGGAUGAGCACCGCUCCUGUCUCCGAUGGCGGCCCUCACGCAAGAACGAGAAAGCCAAGAUUUCCAUCGACUCCAUCCAGGAGGUGAGUGAGGGCCGGCAGUCUGAAAUCUUCCAGCGCUACCCAGACAGCAGCUUCGACCCCAACUGCUGUUUCAGCAUCUACCAUGGCAGCCACCGAGAGUCGCUGGACUUGGUCUCCCCCAGCGGUGAAGAGGCACGUACCUGGGUCACCGGCCUUCGCUACCUCAUGGCUGGCAUCAGCGAUGAAGACAGCCUAGCCCGUCGCCAGCGUACCAGGGACCAGUGGCUGAAGCAGACAUUUGAUGAGGCUGACAAGAACGGGGACGGCAGUCUGAGCAUCAGUGAGGUUCUCCAGCUGCUACAUAAACUCAACGUGAACCUGCCCCGGCAGAGGGUGAAACAGAUGUUCAGGGAGGCAGACACAGACGACCAUCAGGGAACACUGGGCUUUGAGGAAUUCUGCGCCUUCUACAAGAUGAUGUCCACUCGCCGAGACCUCUACCUGCUCAUGCUGACCUACAGCGACCAUAAGGACCACUUGGAUGCCUCCGACCUGCAGCGCUUUCUGGAGGUGGAGCAGAAGAUGAAUGAUGUGACGCUCGAGAGCUGUCAGAACAUCAUCGAACAGUUUGAGCCUUGCCUGGAAAAUAAGAGCAAGGGAGUGCUGGGGAUUGAUGGCUUUACCAACUACACGAGGAGCCCUGCCGGUGACAUCUUCAACCCUGAGCACCACAGAGUGCACCAAGACAUGACGCAGCCGUUGAGUCACUACUUCAUCACCUCGUCCCACAACACCUACCUCGUGGGUGACCAGCUCAUGUCCCAGUCUCGGGUGGACAUGUAUGCCUGGGUUCUGCAAGCCGGCUGCCGCUGUGUGGAGGUGGACUGCUGGGAUGGUCCUGAUGGGGAGCCCAUUGUCCACCACGGCUACACUCUGACCUCCAAGAUCCUUUUCAAAGACGUCAUAGAAACCAUCAACAAAUAUGCCUUCAUCAAGAAUGAGUACCCAGUGAUCCUGUCCAUUGAGAACCACUGUAGUGUUGUUCAGCAGAAGAAGAUGGCCCAGUAUCUGACUGACAUCCUUGGGGACAAGCUGGACCUCUCCUCAGUGAGCAGCGAAGAUGCUACCAUGCUUCCUUCUCCACAGAUGCUCAAAGGCAAGAUCCUGGUGAAGGGGAAGAAGCUCCCUGCCAAUAUCAGUGAAGAUGCGGAAGAAGGUGAAGUAUCUGAUGAGGACAGUGCCGAUGAGAUCGAAGAUGACUGCAAGCUCCUCAAUGGGGAUGCCUCCACCAAUCGGAAGCGUGUGGAAAACAUUGCAAAGAAGAAGCUGGAUUCUCUGAUCAAGGAGUCAAAGAUCCGUGACUGUGAAGACCCCAAUGACUUCACUGUCUCCACACUAUCCCCAUCUGGAAAGCUUGGGCACAAAGCAGAGUCCAAGAAGGGUCAGAGCAAGGUUGAGGAAGAUGUGGAGUCCGGGGAGGACACUGGGGCCAGCAGGCGGAACAACCGUCUCCUCAUGAGCAGCUUCUCCAAGCGCAAGAAAAAGAGCAGCAAGACAAAGAAGGUGGCCAGCGUGGAAGAGGGGGAUGAGAACCUGGACUCCCCAGGAAGCCAGAGCCGAGGGACUGCCCGGCAAAAGAAGACCAUGAAGCUGUCACGAGCCCUCUCGGACCUAGUGAAAUAUACCAAGUCUGUGGGCACCCAUGACGUGGAGAUGGAGGUGGUAUCUAGCUGGCAGGUGUCGUCCUUCAGCGAGACCAAGGCCCACCAGAUCCUGCAGCAAAAGCCUACCCAGUACCUGCGCUUCAACCAACACCAGCUCUCACGCAUAUACCCCUCCUCCUACCGUGUGGACUCCAGCAACUACAAUCCACAACCCUUCUGGAAUGCUGGUUGCCAGAUGGUUGCCCUGAACUACCAGUCAGAGGGGCGGAUGCUGCAGCUGAACAGGGCCAAGUUCAGCGCCAAUGGUGGCUGUGGCUACGUGCUCAAACCGCAGUGCAUGUGCCAGGGUGUCUUCAACCCCAACUCUGAGGACCCCCUGCCAGGGCAGCUCAAGAAGCAGCUGGCCCUGAGGAUCAUUAGUGGCCAGCAGCUGCCCAAGCCACGGGACUCGGUGCUGGGUGACCGUGGGGAGAUCAUCGACCCCUUUGUGGAGGUGGAGGUCAUCGGGCUUCCCGUGGACUGCAACAAAGAGCAGACCCGAGUGGUGGAUGACAACGGAUUCAACCCCAUGUGGGAGGAGACACUGGUGUUCACUGUUCACAUGCCCGAGAUUGCACUUGUGCGCUUUCUGGUCUGGGACCAUGACCCCAUUGGACGUGACUUCAUUGGUCAGAGAACCCUGGCUUUCAGCAGCAUGAUGCCAGGCUACCGGCAUGUGUACCUAGAAGGGAUGGAAGAGGCCUCUAUCUUUGUACAUGUGGCUGUCAGUGACAUUAGUGGUAAGGUCAAGCAGACUCUGGGUCUAAAAGGUCUCUUCCUCCGAGGCCCAAAGCCAGGCUCACUGGACAGUCAUGCUGCUGGGCAGCCCCUGCCCCGGCCCUCCGUUAGCCAGAGGCUCCUGAGGCGCACAGCCAGUGCCCCAACCAAAAGCCAGAAGCCAAGUCGCAAGGGCUUCCCAGAGCUGGCCCUGGGCACACAGGACGCAGGCUCUGAGGGGGCAGCUGAUGACGUGGCACCCCCUAGCCCCAACCCAGCUCUGGAGGCCCCUACUCAAGAGAGGUCAGGCAGCGGCAGUCCCCGAGGUAAGGCACCAGCAGGAGAAGCAACCGAAGAGAGAACACCGGCACAGGUGCGGUCCCCACAUGCCCCCGAAGGCCCUGGACCUGCAGGGAUGGCCGCCACAUGCAUGAAGUGUGUGGUGGGCUCCUGCACCGGUAUGGACGUUGAGGGCCUUCGAAGGGAGCAGCAACCUAGCCCUGGGCCUGCAGGCAGCCACAUGGCCAUCAGCCAGCAGCCCAGGGCCCGGGUAGAUUCACUGGGGGGCCCUUGCUGCAGCCUGAGUCCUCGAGCCACCCCAGGGAGAAGCAGAGAGGCCCCCAAGGGUCCUAGGGCUCGGCGGCAGGGUCCAGGAGGCGGCUCUGUGUCUUCGGACUCCAGCAGCCCAGGCAGCCCAGGCAGUCCCAAGGUGGCCCCCUGCCAGCCGGAGGGUGCUCACAGGCAGCAGGGGGCGCUGCAGGGAGAGAUGAACGCCUUGUUCGUUCAAAAGCUGGAGGAGAUCAGGAGUCAUUCCCUCAUGUUCUCCACGGGUAAGGCCUGCCAUUCCGCUGCAUCCCAUGCUCUCUACCCAUGGCAUGCCUGGGAGCUCCGUGCCUGCCGCGUUCUGCUUCACCGGUCCAUCAGCUUAACCUGUGGCUUGCCUGCCUCAAACCCCUGCCCCCACUCUGAUGGCCCUGUACCUUGUGGGGGGAUGCAGGAAGUGGGGAGCUUGAGUCAUCAAGGUAUUUCUGUGAGCUGCUUGCUGAGGAACCCAAGGAUAUCCAGCCAGCCCUCAGCAAGGGCUUCCCUGGUGCCUUGCUGGCUACCCUGAUUGGCUGCUCUGAUGACCUUCCUAGGUCUGAAAAGAUCCCAGAUCUUAGCCUUGCUUUCCCCCCCCCCCCCCGCCCGACCCCCAGGGCCAGAUGCAAGAAUGACUGCCCUGCAGUCCUUCAGGAGCCUGCUGCCAAUUGGUGGUGGGACCACAGGGUAUUCCCCCUUGGAGGCCUCAGAGCACCCAGUGCUUAGAAGAGUAGCUCCCAGGGACCUGCAUUGUCCGAAUGGCACUUGAAUAGCCCUUGUGUGACCACCCACCGUCCAGGCUGACAGUUACUGGCCCAUACCAGUAACUGAGGUGGUGUGAGAGAGGGAGUGUGAGAGAAUUGGUCUGAGCUGGUUACCUGAGCUCUAGCCUGGGCGGGAGGGAGUCUGCCUGCUUCUUGUGUACUCCUCCCGCUCAUUGCCCAGCCUCGUUGUCCAUCUGUCCAUCUGUCCAUCUGCCAACGCCCCCUCCACACACUGAUCCGUGUUCUCCUUUCUGUCCCUGCACCGUGCUGCUUCCAUAGUUAGGGAUUGAGACCUGCGAGUGCCAGAUACUCGCCUCUUCCCCCUGCAGCGGCCCAUCUCCCCCCUGUGCAGCCUGGAACCCAUUGCUGAGGAACCAGCCCUGGGCCCUGGCCUCCCGUUACAGGCAGCUGUCCCCACAGGUCCAUCUCAGGAAGGGCCCCAGUGCCCUGUAGGACUGGGAGCCAAAGUGACCAGGCCCCAGCAGACAUCCCUGGGAGCUUCUGGAACCCUGCAGCUCAGAAUUGGGGGUGACAGGGAAAAUGAAGAGCCACCCCUCAGGCCACACAAUGGUGGGAUCUCCAGCGGGCCACGUGAGGGGACCUCUGGAAGACAGACAGACAGCAAGAGCCGCUCCUGGGCUCCGGGCCACUUGCCAGUGGUUAGGAGGGCCAAGAGUGAGGGCCAGGUGCUCUCGGAGCUCUCUCCCACACCUGCAGUGUACUCGGAUGCUACUGGCACUGACAGGUUAUGGCAGCGGCUGGAGCCUGGGAGUCACAGGGACAGUGUCUCCUCAUCCUCCAGCAUGUCCUCCAACGACACUGUCAUAGACCUAUCACUGCCCAGCCUCGGCCUCUGCCGCAGCCGAGAAAGCAUUCCAGGGGUCUCUCUUGGACGCCUAGCCUCACGGCCCUGCUUAGCCUCAGCUGCCCGUCCUGACCUGCCUCCUGUGACCAAGAGCAAAUCCAACCCCAACCUGCGGGUUGCAGGUGGGCUGCCUCCUGCACCCGAUGAGCUGCAGCCCCGGCCUCUUGCCCCACGGCUGACCAGCCUCUACCCACGGCCACCCCGGCAUCACCUCACCCUGGUGGGUCUGCAGGACUGCUCAGUGUCUGCUAAGUCCAAGAGUCUGGGAGACCUGACGGCUGACGACUUUGCUCCCAGCUUUCAGGGCAGCACCGGCAGCCUGAGCUGCAGCCUGGGCCCCCUGGGUGUGGUGCAUCAGGGGCUGGAGCCGGAAGUGCGGCGAGACGCUCUCACGGAGCAGCUUCGCUGGCUCACCGGCUUUCAGCAGGCUGGGGACAUCACCUCGCCCACCAGCUUGGGCCCGGCUGGGGAUGGGUCUGUAGGGGGCCCCAGCUUCCUGAGGCGCUCCUCCUCUCGCAGCCAGAGCCGCGUGCGCGCUAUUGCCAGCCGAGCCCGCCAAGCUCAGGAGCGCCAGCAGAGGCUGAGAGGCCUGGACUCACGGGGUCCCCCAGAGGAGGAGCGGGGCACCCCUGAGGGUGCCUGUUCUGUAGGCCACGAGGGCUGUGUGGAUGUGCCAAUGCCUGCCAAGGGAGCCCCUGAGCAGGUGUGUGGUGCUGCUGACGGCCAGCUGCGGCUCAGGCUCUGACUGCCUGAUGACUCGAACUCCCUACCUUCCCUGUGACUGCCUGCAGGAGGGGUGGGGGGGCUGGCCUCAACCCAACCUUUGCUCAGGAAAUGAAGCCACUGGGUCCCCAAAGCUGUUAUGCCCCACUCGCUGUCUGUGGAGCACCCAGUAGCCUCCCCUUCAACCUUAGCUGUCCUCCUGUCUCUGAUCCUGGGAAGCGAGGAACAGCAUUGUCCACCUGUCCUACUGGGCAGUUUCCACGUUUUAAGAUAUAUAAAUAGAUUAUUUAACUUUUUAGAACCAAAAUUUACAGUCAAAUGACUCUGCGUCCUUUCCCACUGGUCUGCUGGGUGUCUGGCCCUGUGGUGUGUGCUGAGUGUUUUCUUCCACCCGCUGUGUGCUUGUUCCCCAGAAUGCCUGUGACACACCCACAACUGCUAGGAUGUUUGUCCCUGUCCCCUACUCCACUGUACACCGGCCUUGUUUUGAACAAACCACGCAGCAAUUGUGUAAACUUGGGAACACAACUCCAAUAAAUGCAUCAGGCCUGUUC